GAUGAACGCUGGCGGCGUGCCUAAUACAUGCAAGUCGAGCGAACAGACGAGGAUCUUGCUCCUCUGACGUUAGCGGCGGACGGGUGAGUAACACGUGGAUAACCUACCUAUAAGACUGGGAUAACUUCGGGAAACCGGAGCUAAUACCGGAUAAUAUAUUGAACCGCAUGGUUCAAUAGUGAAAGACGGUUUUGCUGUCACUUAUAGAUGGAUCCGCGCUGCAUUAGCUAGUUGGUAAGGUAACGGCUUACCAAGGCAACGAUGCGUAGCCGACCUGAGAGGGUGAUCGGCCACACUGGAACUGAGACACGGUCCAGACUCCUACGGGAGGCAGCAGUAGGGAAUCUUCCGCAAUGGGCGAAAGCUUGACGGAGCAACGCCGCGGGAGUGAUGAAGGUCUUCGGAUCGUAAAACUCUGUUAUUAGGGAAGAACAAAUGUGUAAGUAACUAUGCACGUAUUGACGGUACCUAAUCAGAAAGCCACGGCUAACUACGUG
RNAcentral lists this ribosomal RNA (497 nucleotides) under uncultured bacterium. RNAcentral's name for it is "partial 16S ribosomal RNA". It matches the Rfam family "Bacterial small subunit ribosomal RNA", at positions 28 to 507 of the family's 1533-position model. The record is from RNAcentral.